UGGUCCAUUUUCCAAAGAGCCCCUGUCCACUGCAGACUCAAACACCAGAGCCAGGGGGAGUCCUCUAACCCAGCAACUCCCCCACCUCCCCAGACCCUGCAAAGAAUCCUGCCUCUCACCCACAAACCACAAGUGCAGAAACUACCAGCGGCCAAGUUUGCCUCACGACCUACCGGUGUGGCCACUCGGCAGGUGAAACUUAAAACCAAGGUAGAGACGGACUCACCCAUGCCCUUGCUGAGAAGAUGAGAACUAAGCGUCAGAGGGAAGGAGUCCCAGGUGGUGUGUAGAAGACCGAGCCCUCCUGUGACCACACUGACGAGGAUCAGAGCUAUCGCGGCCACACUGACCGUUGCCCGUGCUCGUUCAGCCAGCCCACCCGCCCCUCUAGGGCUCUGUCCGGGCAAUCGAUACUGUAUGGAAGUGCUAGACCCUAUCUCCAUCAGUGGCCUUGAAGACUUGGCUGGGUUGAACUCCCCUCUACCGAGCCUGAGAGGAUCCUGCUAUGUCGUCUCAGUGUUCCUGACAGAGUACUGGGACUUCCUUGCCCAUACAGCAGGACCACCAGGCUGAGGCCCAACCACACAGUACCGCCAGCGUGAGGCCCAAACAUGCAGGACCACCAGGGUAUGACCAAACAACACAGCACCACCAGACUGAGGCCCAGCAUGCAGGACCGCCGUGUAAGGCCCCAGCACGAAGGACCAGCGGGUAAGGCCCCAGCACACAGGACCACCAGGCUGAGGCCCCAGCACGUGGGAUCACCGGGUAAGGCCCCAGCACUCAGGACCACCGGGUAAGGCCCCAGCACGCGGGACCACCAGGCUGAGGCUCCAGCACUCAGGACCACCGGGUAAGGCCCCUCCUCAAUGCUCUGCCUUCUCAGCUCCUGGUGAUGGACCGUCUCCCACAGAUGUGAUGACUCUCCUCCCAUUCUUCCUUAAUUAGGUUCCAUAAAGUAUCUCCUGCCGUGAGUCCUGGUUCAGUAAUUACUGUAUCUUUCAGGUUCAAGGAAACCUGCAUCUUUCCUUUUAGUAAUUUAACAGAAUAUUUCACACUGUCAGGGCUAAAUGCCUUCCAGGUCCCCCAGACUCUCCCGACAGUCUCGCACUAUUGUUUGCAAUCCCGGCAAAGGCUGAUUUUCCUCUAGUCCCUUUCUGGGAGAUGGUUGGGUCAGGUUUUUGCUGCUUACAUUUCCCAUAAUUCUCCUCAUUUCCUAGUCCUGCCUAUCUUCCUCGCCUCUAUUGGCUACAGUGUUUUACUCAUCAACCAAUAAGAGAAACAUAAAUACAGAAGGACAUCCCCUAUCAAUCAGUGUUACUUACAGGAAUUAUGAGUGAGGGGUGAGUUAUGGGAGCAUAAAUGACUCAAAGACAGCUGUGCCACCAAAAGCCCGUCCCAGCAUGGGGGGACAGCUCACAAAAGCUGGAAAUCUGACGUGCCUUGCACAGCCUGCAGACAGAUCAGUGGGUUGGAGAGUGUCCUUUCCAGGUGGCUCACUUGGUCUCAGUUUCUUCCAGGCAGCUCAGCUUGUCUGAGAGUGUCUCCCACAGAAUUUACUGUUCAUAUGUACUUGGGAGAGGGAGGAGCCUAGUGAAUCUGGUCAGUUUCAGGGACUUCCUGACGCUAAUUUGAGUUGUUUACUUCCUGUCUUAAGGAAGUAAGGUUUUUGUCUCAGAGGAGACUGCUGCACAACAUCAUACAGGGCCAGUGCCUACUCUCCUGGGGCUAUAACACACAGGGCCUGCACUGGGACAUCACACACACACACACACACACACACACACACACACACACAUAUCCCUUCUGUAUUAGCAACUUUCCUUGUUGCUGUGACAAAAACACCAGACAAAAGCAACUUAAGAAGGGCUGAUUAAUUAAUAUAUUUUUUAAUUUAAGUGUUUUCCUGACAUGUGUGUCUGUGUACCAUGCACGUGUCUGGUACUUGUGGAGAUCAAGGAGAAGGGCAAUGGAUUCCUCAGAACUGGCAUAACAGAUUGCUGUGAGUUGCCAUGAGGGUGCGGGCAUUGAACCUGAGUCCUCUGUAAUCGCAGCCAGUGCUCUUAAACCCCAGAGCCAUCUCUCCAGCCCUAGAAAUGCUUAUUUUUGACUCACGGUUUGAGGGUACAGUUCAUCAUGGUGGAGAGGUCAAGGCAGCAGGGCCCCGAGACAGCUAAGUCACACUGCAUCUGCAGUUAGCAAGGAGAGAGGGCGUGUGAGGGUGGGGGAGAG
Mesocricetus auratus (golden hamster) is the source of this 2232-nucleotide long non-coding RNA. RefSeq lists it as uncharacterized. The transcript is spliced from 3 exons. The record is from RefSeq and is a predicted model, not a curated record. NCBI's taxonomy places the organism in Eukaryota, Metazoa, Chordata, Mammalia, Rodentia, Cricetidae.